This 251-nucleotide ribosomal RNA is filed under the name uncultured bacterium. RNAcentral describes it as "partial 16S ribosomal RNA". It matches the Rfam family "Bacterial small subunit ribosomal RNA", at positions 525 to 775 of the family's 1533-position model. The record is from RNAcentral.
ACGGAGGAUGCGAGCGUUAUCCGGAUUUAUUGGGUUUAAAGGGUGCGUAGGUGGCUUAUUAAGUCAGCGGUGAAAGUUUGUGGCUCAACCAUAAAAUUGCCGUUGAAACUGGUUAGCUUGAGUAUAUUUGAGGUAGGCGGAAUGCGUGGUGUAGCGGUGAAAUGCAUAGAUAUCACGCAGAACUCCAAUUGCGAAGGCAGCUUACUAAACUAUAACUGACACUGAAGCACGAAAGCGUGGGGAUCAAACAG